CCGAAUGUUACCAAACAAACCACUGUGAACCGUCCCUUUAGCUGCUUCGGCGAGCGAUCCCAGGGCGGGAUCCCGGGCUCCUUACGGGGUGCUCGCCGGCGGCCACUUUCUAGCUCUGUUUCUAGCGGGCUUCUGAGUGUAAACAAAAAAUAAAUCA
RNAcentral lists this unclassified non-coding RNA (157 nucleotides) under soil metagenome. RNAcentral describes it as "partial internal transcribed spacer 1". The record is from RNAcentral.